RNAcentral lists this ribosomal RNA (459 nucleotides) under uncultured bacterium. Its description in RNAcentral is "partial 16S ribosomal RNA". It matches the Rfam family "Bacterial small subunit ribosomal RNA", at positions 338 to 795 of the family's 1533-position model. The record is from RNAcentral.
CCUACGGGAGGCAGCAGUGAGGAAUAUUGGUCAAUGGCCGCAGGGCUGAACCAGCCAAGUCGCGUGAGGGCUGACGGUCCUAUGGAUUGUAAACCUCUUUUGUCAGGGAGCAAAGGGCGCCACGUGUGGCGCUUUGCGAGUACCUGAAGAAAAAGCAUCGGCUAACUCCGUGCCAGCAGCCGCGGUAAUACGGAGGAUGCGAGCGUUAUCCGGAUUUAUUGGGUUUAAAGGGUGCGCAGGCGGAAUGUCAAGUCAGCGGUAAAAUUUCGGGGCUCAACCCCGUCGUGCCGUUGAAACUGGCGUUCUUGAGUGAGCGAGAAGUAUGCGGAAUGCGUGGUGUAGCGGUGAAAUGCAUAGAUAUCACGCAGAACUCCGAUUGCGAAGGCAGCAUACCGGCGCUCAACUGACGCUCAUGCACGAAAGCGUGGGUAUCGAACAGGAUUAGAUACCCCAGUAGUC